RNAcentral lists this ribosomal RNA (505 nucleotides) under uncultured Sanguibacter sp. RNAcentral describes it as "partial 16S ribosomal RNA". Lineage: Bacteria; Bacillati; Actinomycetota; Actinomycetes; Micrococcales; Sanguibacteraceae. The record is from RNAcentral.
CACGUAGUUAGCCGGCGCUUCUUCUGCAGGUACCGUCACGACUAGGAGAACCCAACCGCUUCUUCCCUACUGAAAGAGGUUUACAACCCGAAGGCCUUCAUCCCUCACGCGGCGUCGCUGCAUCAGGCUUUCGCCCAUUGUGCAAUAUUCCCCACUGCUGCCUCCCGUAGGAGUCUGGGCCGUGUCUCAGUCCCAGUGUGGCCGGUCGCCCUCUCAGGCCGGCUACCCGUCGACGCCUUGGUGAGCCGUUACCUCACCAACAAGCUGAUAGGCCGCGAGUCCAUCCUUGACCGAAAAAACUUUCCAGACGCCGACCAUGCGGUCGCGUCUCGUAUCCGGUAUUAGCCCCGGUUUCCCGGAGUUAUCCCAGAGUCAAGGGCAGGUUACUCACGUGUUACUCACCCGUUCGCCACUGAUCAACCAGAGCAAGCUCUGGCGUCACCGUUCGACUUGCAUGUGUUAAGCACGCCGCCAGCGUUCGUCCUGAGCCAGGAGUACAAACUCU